RNA transcript from Myotis daubentonii (Daubenton's bat), 3809 nucleotides. It is a transcript of the gene named myelin associated oligodendrocyte basic protein, with no coding region annotated. Lineage: Eukaryota; Metazoa; Chordata; Mammalia; Chiroptera; Vespertilionidae. The transcript has 6 exons. The record is from RefSeq and is a predicted model, not a curated record.
UUUCACUCUCAUACUGAUGUUUCUCUAAACUCUCUCUCUCAAAAAAAAUUAAUUUUUUUUAAAUGAAAAGAUAGUUUGUUACUCACAGUUCCCAAGAGGAGAGGGCAUGCCAGACCAUGGAGGGCUAGAUGGGGAAGCACUAGAGUCUGCCAGGAGCCUGAAGGGGCUAGGAAGGCAUGAGCAAGAGACUUUAUUGUACCUUUGUACAGGUAUGAAUGAGCCAGACAGGGUAAGCAGGGUAAGCAGGUUUAGGAUGGGCGAGUUUAAAUAAGUUCAGUGGGGGACUCUGGAGUGUAGAGUUGACCUGAGUCAUCUGGUACUUGGCCCUGGGAUGAUUAGGAUAGAGGAAUUUUGGCUCAAUCUGUGACAGUUUGAUAAAAAAACAAAAACAGUAGUUGGUGUGCUUAGGCUCUGGAUUGGUUGGUUUGCAUAUAAAAGGCACUCUCAAGAGGGGAGUCCUUUGCUGUGUCUAAGAAUUUAUUAGCCUUGAGAGGGGCAGUCUCUCCAGGAACAGCAAGGCCCCAGAUGCCAGAGCAUCAAGAUACAGGAAAUAGAAGAAUAUAGUUAAUCCCUAGUUAGAGUCCACAUGUGGCAGGAAUGGGCAUAGGGGAAAGAGAGCAGCGGUUGACUCUGGAGCAACAGCAUUUAAAAGUCAGGAAUCGGAUGCAGAAUGUGAGAGUGAAGCUCUGUGCACAACGCACUCGAAUUAACUACAACCUGAGUAACCAGAACACAUUUUGCUGCUUCACUUUUAGGAAAAAAAGAAGAAGCAGCAGCAAAUGAUACCAAGACAAGCUCAUAACAGAGACCUAAUCACCAGAUGUGUACGGAUGAAAAUACAGUGAGAUGAGUCAGAAAACGGGUAAGGAGGGUCCCAGACUCUCCAAGAACCAGAAGUUUUCUGAGCAGUUCAGCAUACGUUGCUGCCCGCCAUUCACCUUCCUCAACUCCAAACGUGAGAUUGUGGACCGGAAGUACAGCAUCUGCAAAAGUGGCUGCUUCUACCAGAAGAAAGAAGAGGACUGGAUCUGCUGUGCCUGCCAGAGGACCAGAACCAGGCGCCGUGCAACGUCCCCCCAGAGGCCCAAGAUUCAGCCAGCUGCACCCCCCGCGGUGGUCAGAGCACCAGCCAAGCCACGGUCCCCUCCGAGGUCUGAGCCACGGUCCCCUCCAAGGUCUGAGCGUCAGCCACGACCCCGUCCAGAGGUCCGACCACCACCAGCCAAGCAGCGUCCCCCUCAGAAGUCCAAGCAGCCGCCACGCAGCAGCCCCAUCAGAGGGCCAGGCACCAGCCGUGGGGGGUCCCCCAUCAAAGCUUCUAGGUUCUGGUAACACCAUCUCUUCCCUUGUGUUCCCCCAGCCCUAAGAUUGAGAAGGAGGAGCAAGCCAACCCCAAGGAAGAAGUAACCAAAGAGGAGUUUCAAGUGAAAGGAUGGCCUCAGCUCCUGGACACACUGCUGCCUGACCCACAUGCCCUUGGGCAAGCUCGCCGGUUCCGAAGAUGAUGCAGAGGCAGACACCUGCUGAUGCCCAAGGUCUCCAUGGCAGGAGGGCCAACGGGCAGCCUGCCUGGAGCAUUUUGAAGAUACCAUUCUAUUGUCUUCUGACCUCUAUAAUUGCCAAUGAGAAAUCUGCCAUUCUACCUGCCUUCCAUUGACCCAAGUUUCUUCAAUAUGAAGAUAUAUAUCUUUCUUCAGGGCUAUGAAAAAAAUAUAUUGUACAACCAUCAUAAUGGCAAAAACUAAAAAUUUUCAAGUGUUGACAAAGAUGUGGGGAAAAUUCUCAUAAGUUACCAGUGAGGAUUUAUAAACUUCUACAACACCUUUGGGGUGAAGUCUGUGGAUACUAGUAAAGCAGGAUAUUGUAGAGAACAAGCAAUUAUAAUUUUAAAUACCCAUCCUAGAGAAAACUUGCAUUCAUAGAAAAAAGGAGAUACUAGUGUAAGUUUAAAUCUGUUCAGUGAAGCAUGGUUUGCCAUUGGGAAAAAAAGAGAGAGACACAGAACGAAGUUAAUCAAUAUCCACCAAUAAGAGAAUGAAUAAGUCAAUAAUCAUAUAUUUAAAUAACUAAACAGCAGUUAAAACAAAUGAAUCAGAUAUACCCAUACCAAGUAGAUAAAUUUGGAAAACAAGAUGAAAAAUAUAAAAAGCAAUAGGAGAUGGUAAGUGCAAUAUGAUGCCCUAUGAAAGAUUUGAAUGACUCACAAUGCUCUAGUUGCCAAAUAAGCAGAAACCUUAAGAUCUCACACUUUCUCUGUAAUGCAAGAGAAUUUAAAAAAUGGCAACAAAAUAAAAGGUUACCCCAGAAAUAUCUGUCCUCUUGGAAAGCAAGCAGAAGAUUUGAAAUAAUUACUGGCUUGAAGAAAUAAUAGAAAUUAAAAGCUAUAUGGAAAUGGCCAACAAUAUUAGCCAGAUGCAAAUGAUUUUGGAGAGAGAAGUGGGGGACUGAUGAUAAGCCUAGCGUCUCUCCAAGGUUCUAAGUCUUAGAAAACAAACACAUCUGUUCUGAGUCAGUUUUGGAUCUGGAUUGUAUUGUGAUUCCUGCAGGUUUCUGACAUGGGGAAAAAGGGGAAUAGAAAGAAUACUUCCUCUCUCCCAACCUUCCUUUAGUGAUACAUAGAAAAACACAGAAGAUAAUAGAAUGUUGUAGAAUGUGGAGGGAUGUUAGGUGGAGCGAAACUCGGCGUAAAGGAGAAAGGGGGCAUCCAGAGCAGUCUUGUGCUGGGAGCCAGGGUAGCCAAACACUGGCUUAUUCCUGAAGCUCUACCAAGGCAUGGCCCUAUGUCCUUCAGUGAGCGCAGGCAGACCCAGCCAAGUUUAAGGGGCAGGUAAGACUAUGGAGGCAAUGCCAGAGGAAGUCCUGUUUAAGGUGUGGGGCUGGGUUAGAACAAAUAGCAGAGAGUAGGGAGGAAGUGUAGUAGAUUUAGAUGAAAUAUAGCUCAGAAUACCAACCCCUCAGAAAGAGGAAUCUGGCCAAGUACUGUCCCAAGGCAGCUGGAGGGCGAGGCCUGAGUGUCCUGGCUUAGGCCAUCAUACUCUGUUGAAGUGGCAAUAAAAAGGCAGGGGAAUUCAGCUACACAGAGCCUUCAGGUAGAAGUGUUUCUCCUGCCUCAAUUAAGGUGCUAAAUGAACAAUAAAAUGAGAACCUCUAUUGCAGUGGUUCUCAACCUUGGCUGCACAUUAGAAUCACCUGGGAAUCUUUUAAAAAUCCUGAUUUCUGGGCCUUGUCCUCCAGAAAUUCUGUUUCUUUGUUAUGGGGUGAAGCCACAACAUUAGUAACAAAGAAACAGAAUUUCCAGAGGAUGAGACCCAGAAAUCAGGAUUUAAAAAAGAUUCCCAGGUGAUUCUCAUGUGCAGCCAAGGUUGAGAACCGCUGCUCUACUGCAAACAGUUUCCAACGAUGAGUUAUCUGAGGCCAUUACAUUCCUGGCAAUAACACCAGGGUGCCGUGACAGACUACUAGAAAGAAGAAAUUAGUGGGCCAGCCCCACUCAGACUCAACAAGGAAACCGUAUUUCUUCAGUCCGUUUUAGAUUUUGGCAAAGCCAGACCCGUACUCAGGCUUGCUAGGCUCUAUUCUCCAUAUCAUCCAGAAGGCACACAGUUAUUCAGAGUAUAAAGUUGGGGAGGAGAGAGCGUAGCAUGUAUUCAUUCAUGUCAAGAAUUGGAUGUCAGCAUGGAAAUUUAAUCACUAGACAUUACUGAAUUCUCUAUGUUUGUCUGUUGUGGAAAUAAAAUCCCCUGGAAACUGGUAGAUAACUAAAUGUAAUGUGCCUUGGAUAUUAUGACUAAAAUGUACUAUUAAUCUAA